AAGCACGCCAAGGUUAAUCCGAGUGGUUUCUGCUAAAGAAACCUUUUGCUAGUCCUAGAAACACUAGUGAAUAAGGGGUGGGCAAGUUCUGGUGUCAGCCGCCGCGGUAAAACCAGCCACCUCAAGUGGUCAGGAUGAUUAUUGGGCCUAAAGCAUCCGUAGCUCGUUUUGUAAGUUUUCGGUUAAAUCCAUACGCUUAACGUAUGGGCUGCCGGGAAUACUGCAUAACUAGGAAGUGGGAGAGGUAGACGGUACUCGGUAGGAAGGGGUAAAAUCCUUUGAUCUAUUGAUGACCACCUGUGGCGAAGGCGGUCUACCAGAACACGUUCGACGGUGAGGGAUGAAAGCUGGGGGAGCAAACCGGAUUAGAUACCCGGGUAGUCCCAGCUGUAAACUAUGCAAACUCAGUGAUGCAUUGGCUUGUGGCCAAUGCAGUGCUGCAGGGAAGCCGUUAAGUUUGCCGCCUGGGAAGUACGUACGCAAGUAUGAAACUUAA
This 496-nucleotide ribosomal RNA is filed under the name uncultured crenarchaeote. Its description in RNAcentral is "bacterial SSU rRNA". It matches the Rfam family "Archaeal small subunit ribosomal RNA", at positions 363 to 859 of the family's 1478-position model. Lineage: Archaea; Thermoproteati; Thermoproteota. The record is from RNAcentral.